UGGGGAAUAUUGGACAAUGGGGGGAACCCUGAGCCAGCCAUGCCGCGUGUGUGAAGAAGGCCUGAUGGUUGUAAAGCACUUUAAGCGAGGAGGAGGGUACUGGUAUUAAUACUACCAGGUACUGGACGUUACUCGCAGAAUAAGCACCGGCUAACUCUGUGCCAGCAGCCGCGGUAAUACAGAGGGUGCGAGCGUUAAUCGGAUUUACUGGGCGUAAAGCGUGCGUAGGCGGCUAAUUGAGUCGGAUGUGAAAUACCCGAGCUUAACUUGGGAAUUGCAUUCGCUACUGGUUAGCUAGAGUGUGGGAGAGGAUGGUAGAAUUCCAGGUGUAGCGGUGAAAUGCGUAGAGAUCUGGAGGAAUACCGAUGGCGAAGGCAGCCAUCUGGCCUAACACUGACGCUGAGGUACGAAAGAAUGGGGAGCAAACAGG
Molecule: ribosomal RNA, 430 nt
Filed under: Pseudomonadota bacterium
Lineage: Bacteria; Pseudomonadati; Pseudomonadota
Description: Proteobacteria bacterium partial 16S ribosomal RNA
Rfam family: Bacterial small subunit ribosomal RNA
Source: RNAcentral